GAACUGCGAAAAUUAGUGUGAAUUGCAGUAUUGUGAAUCAUCGAGUCUUUGAACGCAAAUUGCACCUUCUGGUACUCCGGAAGGUAUACUUGUUUGAGUGCCAGCUUCAUUUCUACGCCGAGCCUGGUUGCCGAAAGGCACUUGGUUCGAAUUUGGGCUGUCUUGGACCUAUUUCAAGUCGCCCUAAAUCAAAUUGGCGCUAACAGAAUCAUCGUGUUUGCUCCGACCUUUAUCCACUGCCAGUUCCAGGGCAAUUGGGUUGGUGCAAGAUGGUUUGAACUGCGCGUCUGUUUACUGAAAAGUAACGGCAAACUGCUGGAAUAAGCUGAACUUGGCCUCAAAUCAAGUAAGAUUACCCGCUGAACUUAAGC
RNAcentral lists this unclassified non-coding RNA (371 nucleotides) under plant metagenome. Its description in RNAcentral is "partial contains 5.8S ribosomal RNA, internal transcribed spacer 2, and large subunit ribosomal RNA". The stretch from base 1 to 103 matches the Rfam family "5.8S ribosomal RNA", at positions 50 to 154 of the family's 154-position model. The record is from RNAcentral.